GUUCUUGAAAGUUCAGGAGCUCCAAAGAGCCAACACCCUAACUCAACGAUAACCAUCAAAUUGAAGGGUGAAUCAAGACUUAAAUUCACAACCGAACAUGGAUUAAUGAUCACCUUUACAAGGGGAUCAUAAGGGAUCAUGUCAAGAUGGAUGGAAGCAUGGAAGGCUAACGGGUCAAAAGGAGGCGAGGAAACAGAUGCGAAUACGGACACUUAAGGUGACCGCAGGUUAGUCAGAUAUUCAUGAGGGAUAAGUGAACGAGGAUCAAGUUGAAGAUCAUGGAUUGUACGGGAAGGCGGUCACGUUGUUUGUAAUCAUUUGUUAACAUAGUUACAUUAAAUAAAUGAUGAAUGAUGUAUUUAUGUUAGAAGGGUUGACCUAAACGCUAUUUAAGUAUGUUAGAGUAGUUAAAAGAAAGAAAUUUUACGGUUCA
Long non-coding RNA from Helianthus annuus (common sunflower), 433 nucleotides. RefSeq lists it as uncharacterized. The record is from RefSeq and is a predicted model, not a curated record. Lineage: Eukaryota; Viridiplantae; Streptophyta; Magnoliopsida; Asterales; Asteraceae. The transcript has 3 exons.